AUUGAACGCUGGCGGCAGGCCUAACACAUGCAAGUCGAGCGGAUGAAGGGAGCUUGCUCCUGGAUUCAGCGGCGGACGGGUGAGUAAUGCCUAGGAAUCUGCCUGGUAGUGGGGGAUAACGUCCGGAAACGGGCGCUAAUACCGCAUACGUCCUGAUGGAGAAAGUGGGGGAUCUUCGGACCGCACGCUAUCAGAUGAGCCUAGGUCGGAUUAGCUAGUUGGUGGGGUAAAGGCCUACCAAGGCGACGAUCCGUAACUGGUCUGAGAGGAUGAUCAGUCACACUGGAACUGAGACACGGUCCAGACUCCUACGGGAGGCAGCAGUGGGGAAUAUUGGACAAUGGGCGAAAGCCUGAUCCAGCCAUGCCGCGUGUGUGAAGAAGGUCUUCGGAUUGUAAAGCACUUUAAGUUGGGAGGAAGGGCAGUAAGUUAAUACCUUGCUGUUUUGACGUUACCAACAGAAUAAGCACCGGCUAACUUCGUG
This 484-nucleotide ribosomal RNA is filed under the name uncultured bacterium. RNAcentral describes it as "partial 16S ribosomal RNA". It matches the Rfam family "Bacterial small subunit ribosomal RNA", at positions 30 to 507 of the family's 1533-position model. The record is from RNAcentral.